CCAAUAGCGUAUAUUAAAGUUGUUGCAGUUAAAAAGCUCGUAGUUGAAUUUCGGGAUCAAUAUAUCGGUCGUGCCAUCGGUACGUACUGGUAUCAUUGGUUUCUCCUUUCUGACGAACCAUGAUGUCAUUAAUUUGGUGUUAUGGGAAGUUAGGACUGUUACUUUGAAAAAAUUAGAGUGUUUAAAGCAGGCUUUCGCUUGAAUACAUUAGCAUGGAAUAAUGAAAUAGGACGUUCGAACCUAUUUUGUUGGUUUCUAGGAUCAACGUAAUGAUUAAUAGGGAUAGUUGGGGGCAUUAGUAUUCAAUUGUCAGAGGUGAAAUUCUUGGAUUUAUUGAAGACUAACUACUGCGAAAGCAUUUGCCAAGGAUGUUUUCAUUAAUCAAGAACGAAAGUCAGAGGUUCGAAGACGAUCAGAUACCGUCGUAGUUCUGACCAUAAACGAUGUCGACUAGCGAUCCGCGGCCGUUGUUCAUAUGACUUCGCGGGCAGCCUUCG
Molecule: unclassified non-coding RNA, 497 nt
Filed under: uncultured Glomus
Lineage: Eukaryota; Fungi; Glomeromycota; Glomeromycetes; Glomerales; Glomeraceae
Description: SSU rRNA
Rfam family: Eukaryotic small subunit ribosomal RNA
Source: RNAcentral